AUUGAACGCUGGCGGCAGGCCUAACACAUGCAAGUCGAACGAUUGGCGGACGGGUGAGUAAUGUCUGGGACCCUGCCUGAUGGAGGGGGUUAACUACUGGAAACGGUAGCUAAUCCCGAAUACCAUCAGAUGUGCCCAGUUGGGAUUAGCUAUUUGGUGGGGUAACGGCUCACCCAGGCGACGACCCCUAUCUGGUCUGAGAGGAUGACCGGCAACAGUGGAACUGGGACACGGUCCAGACUCCUACGGGAGGCAGCAGUGGGGAAUAUUGCACAAUGGGCGCAAGCCGGAUGCAGCCAUGCCGCGGGUAUGAAGAAGGCCUUCGGGUUGUAAAGUACUUUCAGCGGGGAGGCGUUACCCGAAGAGGAAGCACCGGCUAACUCCGUGCCAGCAGCCGCGGUAAUAC
Molecule: ribosomal RNA, 406 nt
Filed under: uncultured bacterium
Lineage: Bacteria
Description: partial 16S ribosomal RNA
Rfam family: Bacterial small subunit ribosomal RNA
Source: RNAcentral